CACGUAGGCGGAUUGGAAAGUUGGGGGUGAAAUCCCGGGGCUCAACCCCGGAACUGCCUUCAAAACUCCCAGUCUUGAGUUCGAGAGAGGUGAGUGGAAUUCCGGAGUGUAGAGGUGAAAUUCGUAGAUAUUCGGAGGAACACCAGUGGCGAAGGCGGCCCCCUGGACGAAGACUGACGCUCAGGUGCGAAAGCGUGGGGAGCAAACA
This 208-nucleotide ribosomal RNA is filed under the name uncultured bacterium. Its description in RNAcentral is "partial 16S ribosomal RNA". It matches the Rfam family "Bacterial small subunit ribosomal RNA", at positions 568 to 774 of the family's 1533-position model. The record is from RNAcentral.